RNAcentral lists this ribosomal RNA (434 nucleotides) under uncultured Lachnospiraceae bacterium. Its description in RNAcentral is "partial 16S ribosomal RNA". It matches the Rfam family "Bacterial small subunit ribosomal RNA", at positions 341 to 792 of the family's 1533-position model. The record is from RNAcentral. Lineage: Bacteria; Bacillati; Bacillota; Clostridia; Lachnospirales; Lachnospiraceae.
ACGGAAGGCAGCAGUGGGGAAUAUUGCACAAUGGGCGAAAGCCUGAUGCAGCGACGCCGCGUGAACGAUGAAGUAUUUCGGUAUGUAAAGUUCUAUCAGCAGGGAAGAUAAUGACGGUACCUGACUAAGAAGCACCGGCUAAAUACGUGCCAGCAGCCGCGGUAAUACGUAUGGUGCAAGCGUUAUCCGGAUUUACUGGGUGUAAAGGGAGCGUAGGCGGCUUUGCAAGUCUGAUGUGAAAGCCCGGGGCUCAACUCCGGUAUUGCAUUGGAAACUGUAGAGCUAGAGUGGCGGAGGGGUAAGUGGAAUUCCUAGUGUAGCGGUGAAAUGCGUAGAUAUUAGGAGGAACACCAGUGGCGAAGGCGGCUUACUGGACGAUUACUGACGCUGAGGCUCGAAAGCGUGGGGAGCAAACAGGAUUAGAUACCCUGGUA